Molecule: ribosomal RNA, 383 nt
Filed under: uncultured eukaryote
Lineage: Eukaryota
Description: partial 18S ribosomal RNA
Rfam family: Eukaryotic small subunit ribosomal RNA
Source: RNAcentral
CAAUAGCGUAUAUUAAAGUUGUUGCAGUUAAAAAGCUCGUAGUUGGAUUUCUGGUGGGAGCGAUCGGUCUGGCGCUUAGCGCGAGUACUUGCAUCGUCUCCGGCCAUCCUUGGGGAGAGUCUGUCUGGCAUUAAGUUGUCGGGCAGAGGAUCCUCAUCGUUUACUGUGAAAAAAUUAGAGUGUUCAAAGCAGGCUUAUGCCGUUGAAUAUAUUAGCAUGGAAUAAUAAGAUAGGACUUUGGUACUAUUUUGUUGGUUUGCGCACCAAAGUAAUGAUUAAUAGGGACAGUUGGGGGUAUUCGUAUUCCGUUGUCAGAGGUGAAAUUCUUGGAUCUACGGAAGACGAACUACUGCGAAAGCAUUUACCAAGGAUGUUUUCAUUAA